Molecule: ribosomal RNA, 972 nt
Filed under: Burkholderia cepacia
Lineage: Bacteria; Pseudomonadati; Pseudomonadota; Betaproteobacteria; Burkholderiales; Burkholderiaceae
Description: bacterial SSU rRNA
Rfam family: Bacterial small subunit ribosomal RNA
Source: RNAcentral
GGGGAAUUUUGGACAAUGGGCGAAAGCCUGAUCCAGCAAUGCCGCGUGUGUGAAGAAGGCCUUCGGGUUGUAAAGCACUUUUGUCCGGAAAGAAAUCCUUGGCUCUAAUACAGUCGGGGGAUGACGGUACCGGAAGAAUAAGCACCGGCUAACUACGUGCCAGCAGCCGCGGUAAUACGUAGGGUGCAAGCGUUAAUCGGAAUUACUGGGCGUAAAGCGUGCGCAGGCGGUUUGCUAAGACCGAUGUGAAAUCCCCGGGCUCAACCUGGGAACUGCAUUGGUGACUGGCAGGCUAGAGUAUGGCAGAGGGGGGUAGAAUUCCACGUGUAGCAGUGAAAUGCGUAGAGAUGUGGAGGAAUACCGAUGGCGAAGGCAGCCCCCUGGGCCAAUACUGACGCUCAUGCACGAAAGCGUGGGGAGCAAACAGGAUUAGAUACCCUGGUAGUCCACGCCCUAAACGAUGUCAACUAGUUGUUGGGGAUUCAUUUCCUUAGUAACGUAGCUAACGCGUGAAGUUGACCGCCUGGGGAGUACGGUCGCAAGAUUAAAACUCAAAGGAAUUGACGGGGACCCGCACAAGCGGUGGAUGAUGUGGAUUAAUUCGAUGCAACGCGAAAAACCUUACCUACCCUUGACAUGGUCGGAAUCCUGCUGAGAGGCGGGAGUGCUCGAAAGAGAACCGGCGCACAGGUGCUGCAUGGCUGUCGUCAGCUCGUGUCGUGAGAUGUUGGGUUAAGUCCCGCAACGAGCGCAACCCUUGUCCUUAGUUGCUACGCAAGAGCACUCUAAGGAGACUGCCGGUGACAAACCGGAGGAAGGUGGGGAUGACGUCAAGUCCUCAUGGCCCUUAUGGGUAGGGCUUCACACGUCAUACAAUGGUCGGAACAGAGGGUUGCCAACCCGCGAGGGGGAGCUAAUCCCAGAAAACCGAUCGUAGUCCGGAUUGCACUCUGCAACUCGAGUGCAUGAAGC